This 201-nucleotide long non-coding RNA is filed under the name Malus domestica (apple). RNAcentral's name for it is "long non-coding RNA (MDOM_LNC004728)". Lineage: Eukaryota; Viridiplantae; Streptophyta; Magnoliopsida; Rosales; Rosaceae. The record is from RNAcentral.
UUGUGCGUCCACAACACCAAUUCAUAUAUAUAUAUGCAUCAAUUUCAAUUCAUAUAAUUCAUAAUAUGCAUGCAUGGUGUUUGAAAACAUACUUUCAUAUAAAUUCAAUUUCUGGGAAAAUUAAUAGUAUAUAGAUAUGUACUGAAAAUAAAACUGCCCACUCACCUGGAGUUUGCCCAACAACUCCCUAGCACCACAUAU